RNAcentral lists this ribosomal RNA (253 nucleotides) under uncultured bacterium. Its description in RNAcentral is "partial 16S ribosomal RNA". It matches the Rfam family "Bacterial small subunit ribosomal RNA", at positions 524 to 776 of the family's 1533-position model. The record is from RNAcentral.
UACGGAGGGAGCUAGCGUUGUUCGGAAUUACUGGGCGUAAAGCGUACGUAGGCGGCUUUGUAAGUUAGAGGUGAAAGCCCGGAGCUCAACUCCGGAACUGCCUUUAAGACUGCAUCGCUAGAAUCCGGGAGAGGUGAGUGGAAUUCCGAGUGUAGAGGUGAAAUUCGUAGAUAUUCGGAAGAACACCAGUGGCGAAGGCGGCUCACUGGACCGGUAUUGACGCUGAGGUACGAAAGCGUGGGGAGCAAACAGG